Molecule: long non-coding RNA, 2495 nt
Filed under: Scophthalmus maximus (turbot)
Lineage: Eukaryota; Metazoa; Chordata; Actinopteri; Pleuronectiformes; Scophthalmidae
Description: lncRNA (ENSSMAG00000032602.1)
Source: RNAcentral
AUGUCCAUCUUUCCUUUUCUUUAUCUACAACUUAACAUCCAUCCACGUGCAUCUUAUCUACUCAACCUUCAUCCAUCCACUCUUUUCUCUCCUCCCCGACAAGCUCCUCCUCUCGCUUCACUCCAUAUCCAUCUUACAAUCAUCUCUCCAUUCCACCCACACAAGCUCUUCACCACAGCUCACCCCCCACCCCCUCUUCCUCCUCCUCCUCCUCUUUCCCUCACUAUCUCCUCUAAGAUGUCACUUCCACAGAUCCUGAGGGUAUUUUUUUUUUGUUCAGCUUCCCAUAUGUUUUCUCCAGCACUUGUCCUUUCCUCUCAGAGAGUCUCUCCACUGUUGUACUUCUGUAUUUUCAGGGAAUGUUUACCUCUGUUUUAUCCUCUUUUUUUUCAGACCAAACGUAGACUAGAAAAAAGGAGCAAACCUGCACCACUGACCAGAGCAAGUUGUAGGAUAUUUCAUCUGUAUGAAGAGGAGACAGAAGAAGCCAUCACCUGCAAUCAAAGCUGUCCCUCCAUCUGUCCCAGCAGGAUGCAGGCGCACCAUUUUGGCGUUUGGGACAAAAUGAAAUGCUGCAGGGAUCCAGGCCGGUUGUUGGGGAGAGGAGGCGAGAGAGAGAGAAAAGCAUAGAAGAACAUUUGCAAGCUUCUGCGAGGAAAAGGGAGGAGAGAGGGAGAUGCAUGACUCAGAGCUCAGCAGCUGGAAUACUGUGUAUUCUUCAUGAGCAAUAGAUAGAGGAGCAAUGGGAGCGAUAUAGAGAAGGGACCGCACCAGAAUUGAGCAGUCGUUAGACAGAGGAAGGACGUGACGAGGUCAGAAGCAGGAGCACUGGCGGGCAGUGAGUGAGAUAUAGGUCGACGUGAAUCAGGUUGCUAGAGGCUGAGGAAGGCAAGAAGAGGGUGAGUUUGGAAAGUGGAUGGUUUGAUAUGACUGAAGCUGGCUGAGGGAAGGUUGAAGGUUCGCUGCAGGGCGGAAAGUCCUCAGUGACUGUGUCUUGCUACGGGGAGAGAACAUGACUGAGGUCUGCAUAUGGGACGACAAGCUUCAAGAAAGUUGACCACGGGAAAGGAAGAAAAUGGUAGAGAGUAGAGAGGUUUAGAAAAAAAACAACACAUAGCACCAGGGGACAGGACAUAGAGAUGAAGAACCACUCAGGCUUGGCAAGAGCAAAACUUCACAUACAAGAAGAGAGAAACAGCUAUAAAGGUCGGUAAGAGAGACCAACUGGACAUUGCUGACCAGAGAACUUAUCGUCCAGUGCACAACAACAGGGACAUGGAAACUUAAACUAUGACACAAGCACAGCAAGAAGUUCCUGUUAAAUAUUGAUGCUGACAGGCCACUCUCGAAAAAGCUCGCUCCUUGAACCACAGAGGAGGAGGCAGUGGGAAGAGACACAGUUAAUGUUUUAUUCCAAGGGAUUCACACACCGCAGUUAAGGUACGCCAGAAGAAGGCUAAAUGUGGAGUUAACAUUUUGACUGCAAAUUAAGAGUCAGAGAUUAGUCAAGCCUCGCGUUCCUGGAGGGAUUUUUCUCGGUGAGAGUGGAUUGACGACAGAGAAAACUGGACUGUUAUCAUAUGUGGGAACAUCUAACGAGAGGAGAAUCAACGUUUGAGAGAUCACACCAGGACUAGAGCAAUUUCUUCUUUCUCUGCAAGCACAAGAUCCCAGUCUGGCGGAUAUCUUAUAUCUUGAUAUAUAUCUUGGAUUGACUGCCACUGUGGGAUACAUCACUGCCAGACGAGAGAUAAGCCAAACACUGCUGAAGCAUUCAUAAAUGUUUCCACCUAUUGUUUUGACUGGUACUGUUUCAACUCUCUGAAAAUGGACUCACUCCAAAGAUUUGACUUGUGAAGGUUUGUUCGUCACGGCUUGAGGAUAAAUGAGCAUGGAAACAUUUUGAAGUGCAUCAACAUAAAGGAUUCUUUAAUUGAAGACAAGAUGCAUACUUUGUUCUUGUAUCCAUGACUGAAAAAGGGUCAUUAUGGCUGUAAAUGUUGUCAUGGCAUUAGGCUACAGUCUGCUCUCUCUCUCCUACCUGAAUCACAUAUUCCUCAAAUUGUCAACACAAAAACGUAGGAAGACAUAACGCACGUCUCCAUCCGGCUGCGGACCGACCAGCUGCGUGUUCGCGUGUGCGCGUGUGGGUGUAAGGACUGUCGAGGAGCUCAGCUGUGUUUGUGUGAGCUUGUGUGGAGGUGUGUGUCUGUGAGUGUGUGCGCCGAGCUUUGAACCGCAGCUGUGUCUGAGUGUAUUUUCAAAGUGUUGCCCGGAGCUGUGUUUCUGUGAGUGUGUGUGCCCGGAUUCUCCCCACCAGCGAUAGAGCUGGACCUGAACAGCCGUGGUGAGAGGGGGGACAGGGAGGGGGAGGAGGAUGAGAAGAGGGAGGUGAAAGAAACCAGCAGGACGGAGGAGAAGAAAGAACUGACAACAUGCUCGGGUAAAGGGACGAAAGAGAGGAGUCUUUGGCUGCCCCCCUGGUGCAAUGUGUG